AUGGCAGACGAUCCUAAUCAAAACUUCGGGCCGUUUUCGCAGCCGUUCUGCAGCCAGAAUGUGGUUUCAUUUCAGACGAGCGCGACGCCUAGCGGGUCGGGAGGCAGCAUGCCGGUGUACCUAGACUGCUCCAGCAGCAUGGGGUCUAACAUGGGGAUGAUGAACACCACGCCUUCAGUAGCUGUCUCCACAAGUUCAUCCAACAUGGUUGCUGAAUCUGCACAGAACCUCAAAUAUGGAGGACCCCUAGCUGAAAGCUGGUCGCAUCUCGAGAUCCAAGUGCUGAAAGAUUGCCUAGAUAGAUAUGUGAAUGAACAUGGUAUCAUGAAGUACAUAAAGAUAGCCGCUUCCCUACCAACCAAGACGGUGAGGGAUGUUGCGAUGAGAUGCCAAUGGAUGGGGAACAAACAAACUACAAGACGGCGGAGGCCUGCAGAACAUCAUAGCAGAAAAAUGAAAGAUAGAAAGGAUAAAAUGGUGGGGCCUUCAUCCUGGGGUACCACUCAUCCUGUUCAGACGGAUACAGGAGUCUCUUCCUUUGUGCCGCAUCAUGCCAUUCAAAACAGUCAAUAUCUAUCUGGAGCCUCGGAGAUGGAUCGUAUAGUACAGCUUGUACUGGAAGAAAAUAAUCGUCUUCUUACUCAGAUAGACACAAAUAUUCAAACAUUUCAGGCUCAAAAUAACACCGAUCUCUUCAAUCGCGUGAGAAGGAACAUUGAUGGCCUUUUGAAAAUCAUGAGCCAAAUGCCUGGAAAAAUGAGCGAGAUGCCUCAGUUGGGAGUUGCGGUGAAUGAAAACCUUGCUAGUUACUUGCUCCCAGAUCUUACAAUGGCACAAGUUCUUGGAAAUAGCCAUUUGAAGGAGGAGCCAAGAGGAUGGUGA
Molecule: ribosomal RNA, 882 nt
Filed under: Triticum aestivum (bread wheat)
Lineage: Eukaryota; Viridiplantae; Streptophyta; Magnoliopsida; Poales; Poaceae
Description: partial small subunit ribosomal RNA
Source: RNAcentral